This 340-nucleotide ribosomal RNA is filed under the name uncultured bacterium. RNAcentral's name for it is "partial 16S ribosomal RNA". It matches the Rfam family "Bacterial small subunit ribosomal RNA", at positions 338 to 675 of the family's 1533-position model. The record is from RNAcentral.
CCUACGGGGGGCAGCAGUGAGGAAUAUUGGUCAAUGGACGCGAGCCUGAACCAGCCAAGUAGCGUGAAUGAUGACUGCCCUACGGGUUGUAAACUUCUUUUAUAAAGGAAUAAAGUGAGACACUUGUGCCUUUUUGUAUGUACUUUAUGAAUAAGGAUCGGCUAACUCCGUGCCAGCAGCCGCGGUAAUACUGAGGAUCUGAUCGUUAUCCGGAUUUCUCGGGUUUAAAGGGAGCGUAGAUGGGUGGUUAAGUCCGUUGUGAAAGUUUGCGGCUCAAACGUAAAAUUGCAAUUGAUAAUGGCAGUGUUGAGUACCGUUGAGGUAGGCGGAAAUCGCGGUG